GCUACUACCGAUUGAAUGGUUUAGUAAGGACUCCUGAUUGGCGCCGCCGCCCCGGCAACGGAGCAGCGGACUGCCGAAAAGUUGUUCAAACUUGAUCAUUUAGAGGAAGUAAAGUCGUAACAAGGUUUCCGUAGGUGAACCUGCAGAAGGAUCAGAACGGAAGAGCAAACGGUUUAAAUCCAGGUACGUGGCCUUUUUCCGGAUGCAGUUCUCUUGCUGGAACAAAAAAUUAUUACAAUCAUCUAAUCAACACACACACUUCUCGACCUUCGUGUAU
RNAcentral lists this unclassified non-coding RNA (277 nucleotides) under sea anemone metagenome. Its description in RNAcentral is "partial contains small subunit ribosomal RNA and internal transcribed spacer 1". The stretch from base 1 to 157 matches the Rfam family "Eukaryotic small subunit ribosomal RNA", at positions 1678 to 1831 of the family's 1831-position model. The record is from RNAcentral.